Non-coding RNA from Acanthosepion pharaonis, 91 nucleotides. The record is from the annotation of a GenBank genome assembly. NCBI's taxonomy places the organism in Eukaryota, Metazoa, Mollusca, Cephalopoda, Sepiida, Sepiidae.
UCACUACACCGGUUCCCGUACACUCACCGAAGUUAAAUAACUUUGAGCCUGGUUAGUAUGAGUAACCGCUUGGGAAGAGCAGGUGCUGUAA